UGACCGCUAGCGAUAGGCUUACCACAUGCAAGUCGAGGGGCAGCAUGGUCUUAGCUUGCUAAGGCUGAUGGCGACCGGCGCACGGGUGCGUAACGCGUAUGCAACUUGCCUCACAGAGGGGGAUAACCCGUCGAAAGACGGACUAAUACCGCGUACACUCUAUGUUGGGCAUCCAAUGUAGAGGAAAUGAAAUUCGCUGUGAGAUAGGCAUGCGUCCCAUUAGCUAGUUGGUGAGGUAACGGCUCACCAAGGCGACGAUGGGUAGGGGAACUGAGAGGUUGAACCCCCACACUGGUACUGAGACACGGACCAGACUCCUACGGGAGGCAGCAGUGAGGAAUAUUGGUCAAUGGGCGAGAGCCUGAACCAGCCAAGUCGCGUGAAGGAUGACUGUCUUAUGGAUUGUAAACUUCUUUUAUACGGGAAUAACAAGAGUCACGUGUGGCUCCCUGCAUGUACCGUAUGAAUAAGCAUCGGCUAACUCCGUG
RNAcentral lists this ribosomal RNA (488 nucleotides) under uncultured bacterium. RNAcentral's name for it is "partial 16S ribosomal RNA". It matches the Rfam family "Bacterial small subunit ribosomal RNA", at positions 30 to 507 of the family's 1533-position model. The record is from RNAcentral.